RNAcentral lists this ribosomal RNA (575 nucleotides) under Shigella sonnei. Its description in RNAcentral is "partial 23S ribosomal RNA". It matches the Rfam family "Bacterial large subunit ribosomal RNA", at positions 365 to 944 of the family's 2925-position model. The record is from RNAcentral. Lineage: Bacteria; Pseudomonadati; Pseudomonadota; Gammaproteobacteria; Enterobacterales; Enterobacteriaceae.
UGACAGCCCCGUACACAAAAAUGCACAUAUUGUGAGCUUGAUGAGUAGGGCGGGACACGUGGUAUCCUGUCUGAAUAUGGGGGGACCAUCCUCCAAGGCUAAAUACUCCUGACUGACCGAUAGUGAACCAGUACCGUGAGGGAAAGGCGAAAAGAACCCCGGCGAGGGGAGUGAAAAAGAACCUGAAACCGUGUACGUACAAGCAGUGGGAGCACGCUUAGGCGUGUGACUGCGUACCUUUUGUAUAAUGGGUCAGCGACUUAUAUUCUGUAGCAAGGUUAACCGAAUAGGGGAGCCGAAGGGAAACCGAGUCUUAACUGGGCGUUAAGUUGCAGGGUAUAGACCCGAAACCCGGUGAUCUAGCCAUGGGCAGGUUGAAGGUUGGGUAACACUAACUGGAGGACCGAACCGACUAAUGUUGAAAAAUUAGCGGAUGACUUGUGGCUGGGGGUGAAAGGCCAAUCAAACCGGGAGAUAGCUGGUUCUCCCCGAAAGCUAUUUAGGUAGCGCCUCGUGAAUUCAUCUCCGGGGGUAGAGCACUGUUUCGGCAAGGGGGUCAUCCCGACUUACCAACC